UACGUAGGGUGCGAGCGUUGUCCGGAAUUAUUGGGCGUAAAGGGCUCGUAGGCGGUCAGUCGCGUCUGCUGUGAAAACUCGGGGCUUAACUCCGGGCCUGCAGUGGGUACGGGCUGACUAGAGUGCGGUAGGGGAGACUGGAAUUCCUGGUGUAGCGGUGAAAUGCGCAGAUAUCAGGAGGAACACCGGUGGCGAAGGCGGGACUCUGGGCCGAUACUGACGCUGAGGAGCGAAAGCGUGGGGAGCGAACAGG
RNAcentral lists this ribosomal RNA (253 nucleotides) under uncultured bacterium. RNAcentral describes it as "partial 16S ribosomal RNA". It matches the Rfam family "Bacterial small subunit ribosomal RNA", at positions 524 to 776 of the family's 1533-position model. The record is from RNAcentral.